RNAcentral lists this unclassified non-coding RNA (390 nucleotides) under soil metagenome. Its description in RNAcentral is "partial contains 5.8S ribosomal RNA, internal transcribed spacer 2, and large subunit ribosomal RNA". The stretch from base 1 to 120 matches the Rfam family "5.8S ribosomal RNA", at positions 35 to 154 of the family's 154-position model. The record is from RNAcentral.
GAUGAAGAACGUAGCGAAAUGCGAUAAGUAAUGUGAAUUGCAGAAUUCAGUGAAUCAUCGAAUCUUUGAACGCACCUUGCGCUCCUUGGUACUCCGAGGAGCAUGCCUGUUUGAGUGUCAUUAAAUUCUCAACCUUUCCAGCUUUUGCGAGUUUGGAUUGGCUUGGAUGUGGAGGUUUGCAGGCUUCUCAGAAGUCAGCUCCUCUUAAAUGCAUUAGCGGAACCUUUGUGGACCAGCUUUGGUGUGAUAAUUAUCUAUGCCAUGGUUGUGAAGCAGUUUUUAUAUGGGGUUCAGCUUCUAACAGUCCAUUGACUUGGACAAUUUCUGACAUUUUGACCUCAAAUCAGGUAGGACUACCCGCUGAACUUAAGCAUAUCAAUAAGCGGAGGA